Molecule: ribosomal RNA, 479 nt
Filed under: uncultured bacterium
Lineage: Bacteria
Description: bacterial SSU rRNA
Rfam family: Bacterial small subunit ribosomal RNA
Source: RNAcentral
AGAGUUUGAUCAUGGCUCAGGAUGAACGCUGGCUGUGUGCCUAAUACAUGCAUGUUGAACGAAGCUAAAAGUGCUUGCACUUUAAGACUUAGUAGCGAAUGGGUGAGUAACACGUACUUAACCUACCCCCAAGUUUGGGAUAACGUUUGGAAACGAACGCUAAUACCGAAUACGUAUUUUUAUCGCAUGAUAGAAAUAUAAAAGGAGCUUCGGCUUCGCUAGGGGAUGGGAGUGCGCUACAUUAGUUAGUUGGUAGGGUAAUGGCCUAUCAAGACUAUGAUGUAUAGCGGGGCCGAGAGGCUGAUCCGCCACACUGGGACUGAGAUACGGCCCAGACUCCUACGGGAGGCAGCAGUAGGGAAUUUUCCACAAUGAACGAAAGUUUGAUGGGGCGACACAGCGUGCAGGAUGAAGGUCUUCGGAUCGUAAACUGCUGUUAUAAGGGAAGAAAAACUUUAUGGCUCAGCAGCCGCGGUAAU